AUUGAACGCUGGCGGCAGGCCUAACACAUGCAAGUCGAGCGGUAGAGAGGUGCUUGCACCUCUUGAGAGCGGCGGACGGGUGAGUAAUGCCUAGGAAUCUGCCUGGUAGUGGGGGAUAACGCUCGGAAACGGACGCUAAUACCGCAUACGUCCUACGGGAGAAAGCAGGGGACCUUCGGGCCUUGCGCUAUCAGAUGAGCCUAGGUCGGAUUAGCUAGUUGGUGAGGUAAUGGCUCACCAAGGCGACGAUCCGUAACUGGUCUGAGAGGAUGAUCAGUCACACUGGAACUGAGACACGGUCCAGACUCCUACGGGAGGCAGCAGUGGGGAAUAUUGGACAAUGGGCGAAAGCCUGAUCCAGCCAUGCCGCGUGUGUGAAGAAGGUCUUCGGAUUGUAAAGCACUUUAAGUUGGGAGGAAGGGCCAUUACCUAAUACGUGAUGGUUUUGACGUUACCGACAGAAUAAGCACCGGCUAACUCUGUGC
This 485-nucleotide ribosomal RNA is filed under the name uncultured Pseudomonas sp. RNAcentral's name for it is "bacterial SSU rRNA". It matches the Rfam family "Bacterial small subunit ribosomal RNA", at positions 30 to 508 of the family's 1533-position model. Lineage: Bacteria; Pseudomonadati; Pseudomonadota; Gammaproteobacteria; Pseudomonadales; Pseudomonadaceae. The record is from RNAcentral.